AUGGAAAGCCUAUAUGUGGCAACUGACACAGUUGAUGUGGAAAUUAGUUGCCAUCCAGUGCACAUGGUUGCUGAAACUGCAAUGACUACCUAUUUACUACACUUUACCAUGCCUACAGCAUGGCAACAACCAUAUCAUGUGCACGAAAUUAGUUGCCACAUGAAAAACAUAUUUGUGGCAACUAUCACAUUCAAUCAGGAAAUGAGUUGCCAUACGGUGCAGAUAGUUACUCAAACUAUCAUGUUUGCAUUCAUACUGCACUUUGGAAAACAACUACCUAGAUCUAGGGUUCAAUGGCAACUAUCAUGA
RNAcentral lists this ribosomal RNA (309 nucleotides) under Triticum aestivum (bread wheat). Its description in RNAcentral is "partial small subunit ribosomal RNA". The record is from RNAcentral. Lineage: Eukaryota; Viridiplantae; Streptophyta; Magnoliopsida; Poales; Poaceae.